UACGAAGGGGGCUAGCGUUGCUCGGAAUCACUGGGCGUAAAGCGCACGUAGGCGGAUCUUUAAGUCAGGGGUGAAAUCCUGGAGCUCAACUCCAGAACUGCCUUUGAUACUGGGGAUCUCGAGUCCGGGAGAGGUGAGUGGAACUCCGAGUGUAGAGGUGAAAUUGGUAGAUAUUCGGAAGAACACCAGUGGCGAAGGCGGCUCACUGGCCCGGUACUGACGCUGAGGUGCGAAAGCGUGGGGAGCAAACAGG
Molecule: ribosomal RNA, 253 nt
Filed under: uncultured bacterium
Lineage: Bacteria
Description: partial 16S ribosomal RNA
Rfam family: Bacterial small subunit ribosomal RNA
Source: RNAcentral